GACGAACGCUUUCGGCGUGCUUAACACAUGCAAGUCGAACGGAAAGGCCCUGCUUUUGUGGGGUGCUCGAGUGGCGAACGGGUGAGUAACACGUGAGUAACCUGCCCUUGACUUUGGGAUAACUUCAGGAAACUGGGGCUAAUACCGGAUAGGAGCUCCUGCUGCAUGGUGGGGGUUGGAAAGUUUCGGCGGUUGGGGAUGGACUCGCGGCUUAUCAGCUUGUUGGUGGGGUAGUGGCUUACCAAGGCUUUGACGGGUAGCCGGCCUGAGAGGGUGACCGGCCACAUUGGGACUGAGAUACGGCCCAGACUCCUACGGGAGGCAGCAGUGGGGAAUAUUGCACAAUGGGCGGAAGCCUGAUGCAGCAACGCCGCGUGCGGGAUGACGGCCUUCGGGUUGUAAACCGCUUUCGCCUGUGACGAAGCGUGAGUGACGGUAAUGGGUAAAGAAGCACCGGCUAACUACGUGCCAGCAGCCGCGGUGAUACGUAGGGUGCGAGCGUUGUCCGGAUUUAUUGGGCGUAAAGGGCUCGUAGGUGGUUGAUCGCGUCGGAAGUGUAAUCUUGGGGCUUAACCCUGAGCGUGCUUUCGAUGCGGGUUGACUUGAGGAAGGUAGGGGAGAAUGGAAUUCCUGGUGGAGCGGUGGAAUGCGCAGAUAUCAGGAGGAACACCAGUGGCGAAGGCGGUUCUCUGGGCCUUUCCUGACGCUGAGGAGCGAAAGCGUGGGGAGCGAACAGGCUUAGAUACCCUGGUAGUCCACGCUGUAAACGGUGGGUACUAGGUGUGGGGUCCAUUCCACGGGUUCCGUGCCGUAGCUAACGCUUUAAGUACCCCGCCUGGGGAGUACGGCCGCAAGGCUAAAACUCAAAGGAAUUGACGGGGCCCCGCACAAGCGGCGGAGCAUGCGGAUUAAUUCGAUGCAACGCGUAGAACCUUACCUGGGUUUGACAUGGAUCGGGAGUGCUCAGAGAUGGGUGUGCCUCUUUUGGGGUCGGUUCACAGGUGGUGCAUGGCUGUCGUCAGCUCGUGUCGUGAGAUGUUGGGUUAAGUCCCGCAACGAGCGCAACCCUUGUUCACUGUUGCCAGCACGUUAUGGUGGGGACUCAGUGGAGACCGCCGGGGUCAACUCGGAGGAAGGUGGGGAUGACGUCAAGUCAUCAUGCCCCUUAUGUCCAGGGCUUCACGCAUGCUACAAUGGCUGGUACAGAGAGUGGCGAGCCUGUGAGGGUGAGCGAAUCUCGGAAAGCCGGUCUCAGUUCGGAUUGGGGUCUGCAACUCGACCUCAUGAAGUCGGAGUCGCUAGUAAUCGCAGAUCAGCAACGCUGCGGUGAAUACGUUCCCGGG
This 1343-nucleotide ribosomal RNA is filed under the name uncultured bacterium. RNAcentral's name for it is "16S ribosomal RNA". It matches the Rfam family "Bacterial small subunit ribosomal RNA", at positions 28 to 1378 of the family's 1533-position model. The record is from RNAcentral.